Molecule: long non-coding RNA, 2410 nt
Organism: Oncorhynchus mykiss (rainbow trout)
Lineage: Eukaryota; Metazoa; Chordata; Actinopteri; Salmoniformes; Salmonidae
Source: Ensembl
AUGUUAAACGUCCUGUUGGAGCUGGAGAGAAGCGCUGAGGCACAGAAAGAGGAGGGACCUCGAGAGUGAGACAGAGAGAGAAAGAGAGAGAGAGACUGUGUGAGAGCGGCAGAGUAUGUAACGCGAGUGCAAGCGAGAGAGGGGCAGAGAGCGAGAGAGACAGAGGAGAAAGUGAGAAACGGUGUUGAGAGGCAGCAGUGUGCAUGUUGCCAGAGGGAGAGAGAACGAGAGAGGCAGAGUGAUAGAAACACACACAGUGUGUGAGAGUGAGGACAGGCAGAGAUUGUGUGUAGAGCAAGUCGGAGAGAGAGAAAGAGGGAGUGCAAUAGAAAGAGAGAGGCUCAGAGAGAGAGAGAGAGAGAGUGAGAGAGAGAGAGGGCGAUCGCUGUUCUGCUCAGUUGUCACACCGAGCAGAGGGCUGCAUUGUGGAUGUAAACUUUAUCGUGGGUGGGAUCAGUGGCUUGCAGCAGCUGCUGUGCAGUGCAGCGUGCAGCAGGAUUACCAUGUGAGUCAGCUGAAGACCGAACACCAGGAUGCAUCACCUCAGGCAUGGGAGAAACUGGCCGUGGCUCGCCUGCAGAGGGAAGUCGCACGAAGCAAAAGCGAAGGAACAAUGGUACUGUUGAUGCUCUGUCUUACACACAGACACACCACACACACACAUUAUCAGUCUUAAACCCACAGCCCACAGUUGUAGGCAUGCCAGUCCUGCUCGGUCAUCGACCAAGGUCACUGCACUGCUAACUUUCCUCAACCAAAAACAUAUAUUUACGUUGGGUCUUGCAGCACUAUUCCGGGUGGCAAUUCUAGGUCUUGCUCCCAUCGCCAUGGUAUUAUCAACCCAUAUUAUGGCUCAUUAGUGCUGCAGAUUUCAGGGAUGACGUCAAAUGUAGCGCUUAAACACACACACACACAGACACACACACACACAGACACACACAGCGGUUGUAUAACAAGGGGAAAGCAGACCAGGGAGCCAGUCGUGCUGACGCAGAGGGCGUGAGGUAGGGUUCGCAGUGAGUGGACUGACAGUGUGACAGAGCAGAUACCAGCUGACCACGGUCUCUAGAGCGACAGCCAGGCCUUGGACUCAGCUGUUUAGAACCGCAGUAAAGCCCCAAAUAGCUUCAUAAAAGAGCGCUAUGGCAGCAAUCCUAAAGCAGACUUGAGAUUUACAUACUCUAGGAUCACCAUAUCUACAAUGCUUUUUCGUGGUGGUAGUGGUCUCGAGUUCCAGCCUGGGCUCGUAACAUUAAAACACAGUAGGACAGACAUGGAUAUGAACAACACUAUAUACUGUAUAGAGUGGCAAGCAUACGCAUCAUGACAAUGGCCGCAUACUGUACAUAGCCUUCUUUGUAUAGAUGGUCCUGUAUGGCUCAGUUGGUAGAGCAUGGUGCUUGCACUGCCAGGGUUGUGGGUUUGAUUCCCACAUGGGACCAGUAUGAAAAUGUAUGCACUUAUUGCUGUAAGUUGCUCUGGAUAAAAACAUUCGCUAAAUGACGAUGUCGAUGGUAAGAGAAAUGUUUCCUGGAAGCCCCCCAUGGAGUCUUUGGAAAAGACUUGGAUGUUAGUUUGUGACUGUGAAGAACGACCUACCCAGUGUAUUGAUUUCUGCAAUGCGGUUCCUGAGGCAUGCUGUAGCUGUCUGCAAGGUCAGACGUGACCAUGCAAUCAGAGUCACAUGUGUCUUAACACAGUGCAGGCUCUCGCUGUUGAGGCUCACUGUAGCAAAUUCCAUACAGUCCCAGCACAAGAGAAGGAAGUUCCCACAUAGCUCUUAUCUCAGGCUCCAUUGGGAAACUCUGUGUGUCAGCACCUCGUCCUGUAGUCAGUCAGACUAAGAGACUGAUUAGCCUCUGACCUUAGUGAAGAGCUAGGAGGGAAAUAUCUACUGCCUGGCUGAGCGAGGCUUUCUCUGACUACUGCUUCUUCGAGUCAUGAGAGUGGAUGCCAUGCUAAUUACAACUCCGGGUGUGUUUGUGAGGAAAGGGGGGUGGAGGAGGGAUGAGUUAUCUAUGCCAGACAGGAGGAGGGGAAGGGAGUGGUAAAAGAAGAAUGUGGGGUGUGUGUGUGUCUCUCUGAGCUCCAUUUUGAAAUUGGGAUUAUCCCUCCUCUCACACACACAUGCCUGGGAGAUGCUCCUCUCCUCUGGGAGCUCAGGCAUGGUCUUUAGGGUCUUUAAUAGAAAUCAAACCAGAGGGCUGCAUCAGGGAGAUAAUUGUUAAUGUGAUGGCAAGGUGAAAUAGAGAGUAACCUCCUCACACACAGACAAGUAAUGAUAUACAGAUACCAACACAGACACACACACAGCCUCCAGAAGACGACAGAUGAAAUGCUGUAGACUUUGAAGUGUGCAUCUCUGACCCUCCUCUUUAACUAGUUAUGCUCUCUUCUCUGUGGCGGGAGG